RNAcentral lists this ribosomal RNA (497 nucleotides) under uncultured bacterium. Its description in RNAcentral is "bacterial SSU rRNA". It matches the Rfam family "Bacterial small subunit ribosomal RNA", at positions 28 to 518 of the family's 1533-position model. The record is from RNAcentral.
GACGAACGCUGGCGGCGUGGAUUAGGCAUGCAAGUCGAACGGUAUCAUCCUUUCGGGGAUGAGAGAGUGGCGAACUGGUGAGUAACACGUAGGUUAUCUACCCUCAAGACGGGGACAACCCAGGGAAACUUGGGCUAAUACCGGAUGUGAGCAACUUUUAGUUGUUUGAAAGGUGGCGUAAGCUGUCGCUUGGGGAUGAGCCUGCGUCCUAUUAGUUAGUUGGUGAGGUAACGGCUCACCUAGGCAAUGAUAGGUAGGCGGCCUUAACGGGUGGUCGCCCACACUGGGAUUGAGAUACGGCCCAGACUCCUACGGGAGGCAGCAGUCGAGAAUAGUCUACAAUGGUCGGAAGACUGAUAGUGCGACGCCGCGUGAACGAUGAAUCCCUUCGGGGUGUAAAGUUCUUUUAUAUGUGAGCAGUGCUUCUUAUAUUAACAGUAUGGGGAAGAGAUAUUAGCAUAUGAAUAAGCAACGGCUAACUCCGUGCCAGCAGCCGA